RNAcentral lists this ribosomal RNA (427 nucleotides) under uncultured bacterium. Its description in RNAcentral is "bacterial SSU rRNA". It matches the Rfam family "Bacterial small subunit ribosomal RNA", at positions 355 to 774 of the family's 1533-position model. The record is from RNAcentral.
UGGGGAAUAUUGGACAAUGGGGGCAACCCUGAUCCAGCAAUGCCGCGUGUGUGAAGAAGGCCUUCGGGUUGUAAAGCACUUUUAUCGGGAACGAAACAUUGUCGGCCAAUACCCGGCAAGACUGACGGUACCCGAGGAAUAAGCACCGGCUAACUCCGUGCCAGCAGCCGCGGUAAUACGGAGGGUGCAAGCGUUAAUCGGAAUUACUGGGCGUAAAGCGUGCGCAGGCGGUUUGUUAAGUCUGCUGUGAAAUCCCCGAGCUCAACUUGGGAAUUGCAGUGGAUACUGGCAAGCUGGAGUACGGUAGAGGAAGGUGGAAUUCCCGGUGUAGCAGUGAAAUGCGUAGAGAUCGGGAGGAACACCGAUGGCGAAGGCAGCCCCCUGGGCCUGUACUGACGCUCAUGCACGAAAGCGUGGGGAGCAAACA